This 269-nucleotide long non-coding RNA is filed under the name Helianthus annuus (common sunflower). RNAcentral's name for it is "sRNA HanXRQr2_Chr16g0774131". Lineage: Eukaryota; Viridiplantae; Streptophyta; Magnoliopsida; Asterales; Asteraceae. The record is from RNAcentral.
UUAUCAUCGAUUUUUAGAAGAUCGAUUGGGGGAAGCAGCCGACAUAGGCAGACACGAGGUUCGAACAAAAUCACGUGAGGGUUUCAAGGAUCACAACCGACAUGCGCGGCUAAUCUCCUAAGGGUUUCACCCUGUGUAGACUUUGGUCCACCUGAUACAUCAGAUAGUCAACAGCUGAUAUUGUUCAGGUUAGCAGGAUGCUGUAUCUAACGUGGAUAUAACGUUUACACUGACUACAACCUACCAUGACUAGACAUGUCACAAGUGUU